This 96-nucleotide ribosomal RNA is filed under the name Bacillus toyonensis. RNAcentral also lists the same sequence under 13 other names. Lineage: Bacteria; Bacillati; Bacillota; Bacilli; Caryophanales; Bacillaceae. The record is from RNAcentral.
GUCACACCCGUUCCCAUACCGAACACGGAAGUUAAGCUCUCUAGCGCCGAUGGUAGUUGGGACCUUGUCCCUGUGAGAGUAGGACGUCGCCAAGCA